GACGUAGGGGCGAGCGUUGUCCGGAAUUACUGGGCGUAAAGAGCACGUAGGCGGGAACUUAAGUCAGGUGUGAAAGACCGUGGCUCAACCACGGGGUGGCAUUUGAAACUGGGUUUCUUGAGGGCAGGAGAGGAAAGCAGAAUUCCUGGUGUAGCGGUGAAAUGCGUAGAAAUCAGGAGGAAUACCAGUGGCGAAGGCGGCUUUCUGGACUGACCCUGUCGCUGAGGUGCGAAAGCGUGGGUAGCAAACAGGAUUAGAUACCCGCGUAGUCCCUGAG
This 277-nucleotide ribosomal RNA is filed under the name uncultured prokaryote. Its description in RNAcentral is "partial 16S ribosomal RNA". It matches the Rfam family "Bacterial small subunit ribosomal RNA", at positions 524 to 801 of the family's 1533-position model. The record is from RNAcentral.